This 345-nucleotide long non-coding RNA is filed under the name Mytilus galloprovincialis (Mediterranean mussel). Lineage: Eukaryota; Metazoa; Mollusca; Bivalvia; Mytilida; Mytilidae. The record is from RNAcentral.
GAUACAAUAAGAUUAUGAAAAGAAAAAUAGCUGGCGAUAUGCUACCUACAUCUUUUCACAUAGUCAAAGACAAAUCAAGAAGCAUUUGAACAUUAACGUAAAUUGAGGGAGCGAAAUAAUCAAAUUACAACAAACAUACAUAAACGUGUAUUUGGGGAAAAGAGACAGAAACAAGAAACGAAAUAUUUACAAUUUUACUAGCAAUGAUAGGACACGUCUUCUGACAGAUAGAACAUUGCUUAAUUUUAAGAAAUAGAAGAAACUGAUAAUAUACACAAAUAGUAAAAAAAGAAAAGAAAAUAAGACAUCGAAGGUUAUAAGCAAAGACAGCCAAUAUAAUAUGUU